GCGGGGGUGCCGGAGUGGUCAAACGGGACCGGCUUAAGACCGGUUGGCUUAGUGCCUUCCGAGGUUCGAAUCCUCGCCCCCGCA
RNAcentral lists this transfer RNA (84 nucleotides) under Thermodesulfobacterium geofontis. RNAcentral describes it as "tRNA-Leu". It matches the Rfam family "tRNA". Rfam says of the family: Transfer RNA (tRNA) molecules are approximately 80 nucleotides in length. Their secondary structure includes four short double-helical elements and three loops (D, anti-codon, and T loops). The record is from RNAcentral. Lineage: Bacteria; Pseudomonadati; Thermodesulfobacteriota; Thermodesulfobacteria; Thermodesulfobacteriales; Thermodesulfobacteriaceae.